RNAcentral lists this ribosomal RNA (509 nucleotides) under Holothuria theeli. RNAcentral describes it as "partial 16S ribosomal RNA". It matches the Rfam family "Bacterial large subunit ribosomal RNA", at positions 1816 to 2597 of the family's 2925-position model. The record is from RNAcentral. Lineage: Eukaryota; Metazoa; Echinodermata; Holothuroidea; Aspidochirotida; Holothuriidae.
UAGCCCCUUGAAUGUCUAAGGGGUCACGCCUGCCCAGUGGCUUGUGAAGCUAAACGGCCGCGGUAUCUUGACCGUGCAAAGGUAGCAUAAUCAUUUGUCUUUUAAAUGGAGACUUGUAUGAACGGCUAAACCUUUUUCAACUGUCUCCCCUCCCACCCUUUUAAAUUUCCCUCUGUGUGAAGAGGCGCAGAUAAGCCAGAAAGACGAGAAGACCCUGUCGAGCUUCAGCCACUAGGUGAACAAACCAUCUUUUGAACAUCACCAAAAGGCUUUGGUUGGGGCAACCACGGAGAAGAAAAAUCCUCCAGAAUUAAUAGAAGAAAACCAUUCGCUAUUUUACAACUAGAGAACCAGGAACUGGUAUUCGGAAAGAGUUACCGCAGGGAUAACAGCGUCAUCUUCUCUAAGAGUCCUUAUUGACGAGAAGGUUUGCGACCUCGAUGUUGGAUUGGGGCACCCUUAAGGUGCAGAAGCUUUAAACGGUUAGACUGUUCGUCUAUUAAAGCCCU